This 403-nucleotide unclassified non-coding RNA is filed under the name Hevea brasiliensis (rubber tree). Lineage: Eukaryota; Viridiplantae; Streptophyta; Magnoliopsida; Malpighiales; Euphorbiaceae. The record is from RNAcentral.
GAAACAACUUGAUACCCUCUUCCCUGGUUUAUGGCUAACUUCAAUAACUCCUGAUUUGUAUAAAGUUUGUGAAAAUGUUCCAAAGGGUUAAAAGGAAUCCUUCAAAGUUGGUGGUUGUCCUUCGAAUGUCCUUUGCUUUUUGUGGAAGUUUGAAGGUGAUGGCUUCCAAAUUUUAUGAUUUCAUUUGGAGGUUCAGGAAUAUGAGACUUCCAGCCUUAAAAGUUGUUAUCCAACACAAAUUCUCUUCUCCCAAAAACAUUAUUUGAGAGGUAGGAGGCAGUUAUAAGCUGAUAUAUGUGAAGGAGGGACCAUUUUGAAUCCUUCAUUUUAAGCAUCAUCAUCCAUCCCACUUGAGUAACAAUCAGUAUAUCUGUUGAAGUAGGUCAGUGGGAGGCAGCCUUAC